Non-coding RNA from Misgurnus anguillicaudatus (oriental weatherfish), 1564 nucleotides. The record is from RefSeq and is a predicted model, not a curated record. NCBI's taxonomy places the organism in Eukaryota, Metazoa, Chordata, Actinopteri, Cypriniformes, Cobitidae.
AUGUGACAGGAUUGGCAAAGCCCGUCCUGCUCUUGGAUUGGUUGGUCGUUGUGUUCAUUGAUCAGCCUAUCACUGGGCAGGGGGAUGUAUAAAUUUGACUGCGAAGCAGUAUGGUGUUAUGCGUUACGCCCCCUUUCUGCGUCAUCUCGAGUCGCCGGUCAGGUAUGUGUUGGUUAUGUUGGUUGAGGGUUUGUAGUGUGUUGUGUCUUAUUAGUAUUUUCCUUGUCUAGAGUGGUUUAUUUGGACACACCUUGCGACUGGAGCUUGGUUGACGUGUUCCCUCUCGAUAGUGAGUCUGCGGGAGACUUUAACAGUACCGACCGCUGCCUGAUGUUACCCGGUGCCGUUGUGUGCUGUGAGAUCUCUUUAUUUGAGUGAGCCCACGGGUGCACAGAGGGCUGUGACGUGAUUUGUGGGGAGAUCGCACACAUACGAUCGUGUUGUCUCGUAUCAGCGGCUCCUGUUUCCCUGUACACAUUAAUCCCAGAUUGACAGAACGAGCCUGCAGCUUUCUACCUUAUCCUUGAAUUUAUCUGUGCUUCCGGAUCGCUCAUUCAACCGGUACGUGUUUUUAAAGCGUAAUAAACAUUUUGCAUGUACACUGUUUAAUGUGUUCUAUUUUUAACUUCAUUACAGACUUGUUGCGUCUAUGGGCGAUUAAUAUUUGUGCAGUCAGGGCUUCGUGGGAAGUAUCGUCCAGAGGCGCUGUUGCUUUGCCUGUAAUUUAGUGUGUGUGUGUGUGUGUGUGUGUGUGUGUGUGUGUGUGUGUGUGUGUGUGUGUGUGUGUGAUUGAAGCUUAUUGAACGUGAUUGUUUCUUUAGUUUUGUUGCUUUUCUUUUACUGUGAUAUUUGAGUGCUAAAGGUUGUUGUUUCUUUUUGUUUAAUGUUUUUUUUGAUUUAUUUUUGUAUUUUAUUAACUCUAAUUUAUUGAGUUAAUUUGGUUAUUGAAGAGGGAUAAUAUCCCUCUUUUCCUUUUUGUUUUUGGUUUGUUUUGAUUUAAUUGAUGUGCUUAUAUGUAAAGGGCACAGUGAGAAGUUAAAGGUGCCCCCCUCAUCCUCUGUGUUGACACUCAUAGUGUGUUGUGAUCCUACCAGUGACUUUGUGACCAUUCUUAAGUGUAAUAUACUAUCUUAUUGUUACAGGAGCUGAGUGCCGAAGGCGGGGUGGAUUUUGGUGGUGGUAUUGCUUCACGAGUGCUGUGCUGCGUGCAGUGGUGUGCGUGUGUGUGUGUGUUUCCACACAGGUGUAGCCAAAAUUGUGCGGUGCUGUGGAGGCCUAUUAGUGCCCUUAAUCCCUGCUGUCACGCCUCGGCUCCUGCUUUUACACCCAUAGAGGUAUUUGAGGAUGGAGGUCACCCGUAGUACAUCCUAUUAAAUUGAUUGUGUUGUGAUUUCAUUGUGUGCAUAAUACUCUUUUUUUAUAUUUAAUAAAAUUUCUUACUUAUUUUACCCACGUCUUCUACCAAUUCUUUAGUACAGGAACCUGCGUUGCCUAAGUGCAAGUUAUUAUCUCUGGCCAAGUGCCAGGGUGGCGUAGUCGCUAUAUAUAUUCUAUCAGCCCUCGG